RNAcentral lists this transfer RNA (77 nucleotides) under Colwellia psychrerythraea. Its description in RNAcentral is "tRNA-Arg". It matches the Rfam family "tRNA". Rfam says of the family: Transfer RNA (tRNA) molecules are approximately 80 nucleotides in length. The record is from RNAcentral. RNAcentral also lists the same sequence under 9 other names. Lineage: Bacteria; Pseudomonadati; Pseudomonadota; Gammaproteobacteria; Alteromonadales; Colwelliaceae.
GCGCCCUUAGCUCAGCUGGAUAGAGCAACGCCCUUCUAAGGCGUGGGUCGCAGGUUCGAAUCCUGCAGGGCGCACCA